GGCACGUGCAAACUCCAUCUUCAUUCAUUAGCAAACUAAUCCGUGGCCCGGCCUGGUGACUCAUGCCUGUAAUCCCAGCACUUUGGGAGGCUGAGGGCCCUGGAGCACCACCGUCCCUCCCCCAGGCCCAGGAUGUGAUUCUGAAUCUACAGUCAGACUGGACCACCUCUCCCCCAUGCCCCCAGAAUGUCCACAGGGGCUCCCUCGCCUACAAUAGAUGGAUUAGGUUCCUCCCUACUCUUCCCACACUGUCAGAGUCUGACUGGUGUGAAGUUCCGGUGUUUUUGUGUGCAUUUUACUACCAGGGUCGGCUAGAUAAGGAGGAGCUUUCAUUACAUCCUGGAGGUCUGUCCCCCGCACACACGCACAGCCGUCCUCCCUUCCCCCAACAUCUGAUCUAAUUCUCUCUCUGCUUUGCUGAGGCUGGCCUGGCCUAAGAGGAUUAGAGCAUUUGCUAAACGGGACCAGGACAGGCAGGGUCAGAGAACCCGCUGUGGGGAGACCCAGGGCCAGGACGGCCACUAGGGGGCGGCAGAGGAAGCGAGACGCGGAGACGGGUGUGGAGGGCUGAGGAGGAGGCACUCGUCGGCUUAGCAGGAAUCAAUGUCCACAAAGUAACCAUGAAGUUUUAUUCAUUUUU
RNAcentral lists this long non-coding RNA (640 nucleotides) under Pan troglodytes (chimpanzee). Its description in RNAcentral is "lincRNA". The record is from RNAcentral. Lineage: Eukaryota; Metazoa; Chordata; Mammalia; Primates; Hominidae.